This 491-nucleotide ribosomal RNA is filed under the name uncultured bacterium. RNAcentral's name for it is "partial 16S ribosomal RNA". It matches the Rfam family "Bacterial small subunit ribosomal RNA", at positions 28 to 507 of the family's 1533-position model. The record is from RNAcentral.
GAUGAACGCUAGCGAUAGGCUUAACACAUGCAAGUCGAGGGGUAACGUGUUGGAAGCUUGCUUCCGAUGACGACGACCGGCGGAUGGGUGCGUAACGCGUAUGCAACUUGCCUCACAGUGGAGAAUAACCCGGAGAAAUCCGGACUAAUACUCCAUACACUCUUAAGUACGCCUGUACAUGAGAGGAAAGAUUUAUCGCUGUGAGAUAGGCAUGCGUCCUAUUAGGUAGUUGGUGAGGUAACGGCUCACCAAGCCGACGAUAGGUAGGGGUGCUGAGAGGCAGAUCCCCCACAUUGGGACUGAGACACGGCCCAAACUCCUACGGGAGGCAGCAGUGAGGAAUAUUGGUCAACGGAGGAAACUCUGAACCAGCCAAGUCGCGUGAAGGAAGAAUGUCCUAAGGAUUGUAAACUUCUUUAGCGAGCGAGUAAGGACUUCCACGUGAUGGGAGUUUGAAAGUAGCUCGAGAAUAAGUAUCGGCUAACUCCGUG